CCACAACUACAACCGCACUGGAAUGAGUUUAAGUCCAUAACGGCACUCAUGAUGGCGAGUCUAAGUCUAAUA
Carnobacterium inhibens subsp. gilichinskyi is the source of this 72-nucleotide non-coding RNA. The record is from Rfam. NCBI's taxonomy places the organism in Bacteria, Bacillati, Bacillota, Bacilli, Lactobacillales, Carnobacteriaceae.